AUUGAACGCUGGCGGCAGGCCUAACACAUGCAAGUCGAACGGUAACAGGAAGAAGCUUGCUUCUUUGCUGACGAGUGGCGGACGGGUGAGUAAUGUCUGGGAAACUGCCUGAUGGAGGGGGAUAACUACUGGAAACGGUAGCUAAUACCGCAUAACGUCGCAAGACCAAAGAGGGGGACCUUCGGGCCUCUUGCAAUCGGAUGUGCCCAGAUGGGAUUAGCUAGUAGGUGGGGUAACGGCUAACCAAGGCGACGAUCCCUAGCUGGUCUGAGAGGAUGACCAGCCACACUGGAACUGGGACACGGUCCAGACUCCUACGGGAGGCAGCAGUGGGGAAUAUUGCACAAUGGGCGCAAGCCUGAUGCAGCCAUGCCGCGUGUAUGAAGAAGGCCUUCGGGUUGUAAAGUACUUUCAGCGGGGAGGAAGGGAGUAAAGUUAAUACCUUUGCUCAUUGACGUUACCCGCAGAAGAAGCACCGGCUAACUCCGUG
Molecule: ribosomal RNA, 490 nt
Filed under: uncultured bacterium
Lineage: Bacteria
Description: partial 16S ribosomal RNA
Rfam family: Bacterial small subunit ribosomal RNA
Source: RNAcentral